This 543-nucleotide ribosomal RNA is filed under the name uncultured bacterium. RNAcentral's name for it is "bacterial SSU rRNA". It matches the Rfam family "Bacterial small subunit ribosomal RNA", at positions 358 to 916 of the family's 1533-position model. The record is from RNAcentral.
GGAAUCUUGCGCAAUGGGCGAAAGCCUGACGCAGCAACGCCGCGUGCGGGAAGAAGGCUUUCGGGCUGUAAGCCGCUUUCAGCAGGAACGAAAAUGACGGUACCUGCAGAAGAAGGAGCGGCCAACUAUGUGCCAGCAGCCGCGGUGAUACAUAGGCUUCAAGCGUUGUCCGGAUUUAUUGGGCGUAAAGAGUUCGUAGGCGGUCGAGUAAGUCGGGUGUGAAAAUUCUGGGCUCAACCCAGAAACGCCACCCGAUACUGCUUAACUUGAGUUCGAUAGGGGAGUGGGGAAUUCCUAGUGUAGCGGUGAAAUGCGCAGAUAUUAGGAGGAACACCGGUGGCGAAGGCGCCACUCUGGAUCGAUACUGACGCUGAGGAACGAAAGCAUGGGUAGCAAACAGGAUUAGAUACCCUGGUAGUCCAUGCCGUAAACGGUGGGCACUAGGUGUGGGAUUCUAUUAACGAAUUCCGCGCCGUCGCUAACGCAUUAAGUGCCCCGCCUGGGGAGUACGGUCGCAAGACUAAAACUCAAAGGAAUUGACGG